This is a non-coding RNA of Heterocephalus glaber (naked mole-rat), 1587 nucleotides long. Lineage: Eukaryota; Metazoa; Chordata; Mammalia; Rodentia; Bathyergidae. The record is from RefSeq and is a predicted model, not a curated record.
GGGGCGCGCGGUCGCGACGGGGACGCGCCCGGAGACGGUGGCGCGCGCGACUCUGAGGAGCUCGGGGCUCUGCGCUAGCUCCCGCCGCCCCCUCCCCCGCCCCGUCCAACAGCGGAGUCGGGCGGGCGGAGAGGCGACCAGGACAGGCGCCCUAGUCGUUUAAGGACCCGUUGUGCUGCCGAGGCUGCCUGUGUCCUGAAUAAAUUCCAAACGCUUACCUUUCAUGGUAAUUUUGCUCUGGGGAAGAGCCAGAAGUUGCACAGUACCAGAUCUGGUGAAUGAGUACGGGGGAUCAAACUCAGGACCUUGCACUUACAAGGCAGGGGAAGAGACGAGGGCGUCCUCGGGGCCUGUCCUAGGAGGGCACCAAUCUGCUCAGAAGGCGCCCCACCCUCCUGACCUGGUCCUCCUGAGGCCAUCGCCGUGGGAGUCAGGACCCAGGCAUCGGAAUCCUGGGAGGAGCGCAGCACGCAUCUUCUCUUACCUACUGAGGCCUGGAAGUGUUCCCUUUCCGCACAGCCUCGCACCGGUUUUACGCUUCAGAAGAUUGACGGAGUAAAUGCAUCCCUCAGCUCCCUCCACAGAGAGGUUCCUCUAAACUAAAAAUAGGAGGCUCCUCGGUGCUUUUCAGUCAUAAUCAAUGACUAUGCAUGAGGUGGUUAUUUUAAACUCAGCAAUUUAGCCACAAUCCCAUCAUUGAGUUGGGCCUGGAAUCGCAGAGGGAGGAUUCAGGGUGUUUAUCUGCCACAGCUGCUCAGCAGCCUCCUGCCCAAGCACGGUUUCCCUGGAACAGUGUGAGCUUAUUUAAUAACUUGGGGGAACAUUCUGGAAAGUACCUCAAUCUGUGUUAGGAAAACUACAAAAACUCCUCCCCCACCCCUCUGCAGAAUUCCUCUCCCCUGUUUCCUUUCAAUUUAAGACUCCAGAAAGAUAAUGGGAGUAAAGCCAAUUUCAUUGUACUGUCCGGAAUAGUCAUUCCUUCCAGCUUGCCCAUUGUGAUCAGAUUCUAGCAGUCUUCAAACAAGUAGAAAUUAUAAUCUAGUGGGUACCUAUUUAAAGUAACAAUUCGAGGCAACAGAGAGGGCUUCAUUCUGGAUACACAUGUUAUUAAGUAAGAUUAGAGAGACCAUUUAUCCAGCAGUGAGCGGCAGGAGCGGGAAUCAACAUUUUAAGCUCCCCACUCCCAUUUCUUCAAGGUCUGAGGUGGAUAAAAUGACAUCAUUUCUCUGUAUUUAGCUUCUCUGUUCUUAAAUUAUAAACAAACUUGUUAUUACUUCACAAAGUUCUGGGCUACCUAAACCUACAAGAUAUAACACCAAGCUCCCUAGAGAAGUUGAUUUGUAAAUAAAUGACUCUUCACAAAAACAUAAUCUCGAUUUAAAUUGGUGCUCUAGGUCUGAAGUUGGGCCAAGUAUAUUUUUCAAAUGUGAAAUCUUACUAUUGAAGGUAAGCUCUAAUUCAGAUUACACACUUUAAUUUUUUUUCUUCCAUUAGUAAAUACUAGGUUGAGAGAAGUGGAGAAAGUUGAACACCUUUAACACAUCUUUGCCUGAUUUCCUUAACAUUAAUAAAUAUCAUUAAUGUGUG